CCUACGGGAGGCAGCAGUGAGGAAUAUUGGUCAAUGGGCGUAAGCCUGAACCAGCCAAGUCGCGUGAGGGAUGAAGGUUCUAUGGAUCGUAAACCUCUUUUAUGAGGGAGUAGGGUGUGGGGCGAGUCCUAUUUUGUAUGUACCUUAUGAGUAAGGAUCGGCUAACUCCGUUCCAGCAGCCGCGGUAAUACGGAGGAUCCGAGCGUUAUCCGGAUUUAUUGGGUUUAAAGGGAGCGGAGGCGGAUUGUUAAGUCAGUUGUGAAAGUUUGCGGCUCAACCGUAAAAUUGCAGUUGAAACUGGCAGUCUUGAGUACAGUAGAGGUGGGCGGAAUUCGUGGUGUAGCGGUGAAAUGCGUAGAGAUCACGAAGAACUCCGAUUGCGAAGGCAGUCCACUGGACUGCAACUGACACUGAGGUUCGAAAGUGUGGGUAUCAAACAGGAUUAGAUACCCCAGUAGUC
RNAcentral lists this ribosomal RNA (460 nucleotides) under uncultured bacterium. RNAcentral describes it as "partial 16S ribosomal RNA". It matches the Rfam family "Bacterial small subunit ribosomal RNA", at positions 338 to 795 of the family's 1533-position model. The record is from RNAcentral.